UGGCACCGUCGAUCGAGGAGGAGAGUCAGUUUUAUAUUCGCGAAUUGCCUCUUCGUACUGCGUAUGACGAUCAGAUGCCUGAGUCCAGGAUGGAUCGAGAUAGGGAGGAUCGUUCAGUAUUACCUCCGUUGAGGAUAUCACCUCCACCGACGAGAGCACGUCCAGCGAGGAUGUCACCUCCGCUGAGAAGAUCACGUCCAGCUACGCCAGAGUUUCAGAUGCCUGAGUCUAGCGUUGAUCGAGAUAGAGAGGGCCGUCCAGUAUCGCCUCCUGCACCU
Molecule: long non-coding RNA, 278 nt
Organism: Olea europaea var. sylvestris
Lineage: Eukaryota; Viridiplantae; Streptophyta; Magnoliopsida; Lamiales; Oleaceae
Exons: 3
Source: RefSeq, a predicted model, not a curated record